ACCAGGGCAAUUUGGUGACUUUGGAGACAUUUUGUUGUCCCAGCUAGGGCUGGGGAGUGCUACUGGCGUGCAGUGGGUAAAGGCCAGUGCACAGGACAGCUCCCACAGCACAGAAUUAUACGGGGGCUGCCGAGCAAAAAUCAGACAUUCAAGGGAGCCAGGAUUUGAGUGGGAUCACCCUGAAUUAUUGUGAAGAAGAAGAUCCAGAGAAGAGAAACUAGCCAGACUCUGAGACCAGAUCUGGAGGAGGGAAAAGGCAGGGAGGCAGAGAAACAUCCUUUUUUAAAAAUUAUUUUUAUUGUUUUAGAAAGAGAGAGCAUGAGCAGAGGGGCAGAGAGACAGAGAGACAGAGACAGAGAAUCUCAAACAGGCUCCAUGUUCAGUGUGGAGCCCGACUCAGGGCUCGAUCCCACAACCCAGUUGGUCGAGUCUGGUGGUCUGAUCCCAGACUCUGUUGCUUGAGUCUGAUGCUCAACCAGCUGAGCCACCCAGGUGCUCCGGCAGAGAAAGAUCCUCAAGGCAACAUACCCGCCCCAUUCAAACUACCCCCAGAAAUUCCAAACUCCUUUGAAAGGAGUAGGAAUGAAAAUGUCUUUGAAAGGAGUAGUGCAAGAAAUGAAAAACGAGGAGAGCCCAAGAAUGGGGAAGUCAUUCUUGGCUGUGACAUCACAGGCGGGGCACCAGGAAGGGUGUGAACAACUGCAGCCUGGCUCUUACCUCUGAGGACUGGAACCCCUGGUGGGUCUCUGCCUGUCUCCACCAUGGGCUCCAGCCUCCUCUGCUGUGUGGUCCUCUGCCUCCUGGGAGCAGCCCCCCUGGACACAGCAGUUUCCCAGACUCCCAAAUACCUCAUCGCACAGAUGGGAACUGAGAAGUUCCUACAAUGUGAACAAAAGCUGAGCCAUGAUGCUAUGUACUGGUAUAAGCAGGAUUCCAAGAAAUUGCUGAAGAUCAUGUUUGCCUACAAUAAUAAGGAACUCAUUCACAAUGAAACAGUUCCAAGUCGUUUCUCACCUAAAUCUCCUGACAAAGCUCGUUUAAACCUUCGUGUCAGCGCCCUGGAGACAGGUGACUCUGCCGUGUAUCUCUGUGCCAGCAGCCAACACAGCGUUGCAGAAUCACUGCCUCCCUGUGCACAAACCCCCUGGCCCAGCCAGGAAGCUGCGGAAGGGGCUAUGUCUUGAC
Acinonyx jubatus (cheetah) is the source of this 1185-nucleotide non-coding RNA. The record is from the annotation of a RefSeq genome assembly. Lineage: Eukaryota; Metazoa; Chordata; Mammalia; Carnivora; Felidae.